RNAcentral lists this transfer RNA (85 nucleotides) under Burkholderiales bacterium GJ-E10. RNAcentral's name for it is "tRNA-Leu (GAG) (tRNA-Leu-GAG-1-1)". It matches the Rfam family "tRNA". Rfam says of the family: Transfer RNA (tRNA) molecules are approximately 80 nucleotides in length. Their secondary structure includes four short double-helical elements and three loops (D, anti-codon, and T loops). Further hydrogen bonds mediate the characteristic L-shaped molecular structure. tRNAs have two regions of fundamental functional importance: the anti-codon, which is responsible for specific mRNA codon recognition, and the 3' end, to which the tRNAs corresponding amino acid is attached (by aminoacyl-tRNA synthetases). tRNAs cope with the degeneracy of the genetic code in two manners: having more than one tRNA (with a specific anti-codon) for a particular amino acid; and 'wobble' base-pairing, i.e. permitting non-standard base-pairing at the 3rd anti-codon position. Lineage: Bacteria; Pseudomonadati; Pseudomonadota; Betaproteobacteria; Burkholderiales. The record is from RNAcentral.
GCCGACGUGGUGGAAUUGGUAGACACACCAUCUUGAGGGGGUGGCGGCGCAAGCCGUGCGAGUUCGAGUCUCGCCGUCGGCACCA